CGAAGAGGAAGCUGUCAAGCAGUUUCAGCAGGCUGUUUACUUCAUUGCUGCUGUGAACAGCUGGAGGCGAACCAUCAAUUAAAGAGUACUUCCUAUGAAGCCCCUGCAGACAAACUCUCUGGGGGUUACCUGAUGUGACAUUGACUCUCCAAGUCCAUCUUCUAUCCUGAUUUUGAGUGGCAGGAAAGGCAG
Molecule: long non-coding RNA, 192 nt
Filed under: Cricetulus griseus (Chinese hamster)
Lineage: Eukaryota; Metazoa; Chordata; Mammalia; Rodentia; Cricetidae
Description: lncRNA (ENSCGRG00000025124.1)
Source: RNAcentral